GACAUGAUGGCCGAGUGGUCUAAGGCGGUAUGCAUUCCCUUUAUCACUUAGAUUCUCCAAGAAAUGUAACAAUAGUCACAGGUAGAUUUAAGCUUCUUCGAGCAACUCUAUUGGAGCAAUCCGCGUGAGUUCGAACCUCACUCAUGUCA
RNAcentral lists this transfer RNA (149 nucleotides) under Umbilicaria muhlenbergii. RNAcentral's name for it is "tRNA-Und (NNN) (tRNA-Und-NNN-1-1)". It matches the Rfam family "tRNA". Rfam says of the family: Transfer RNA (tRNA) molecules are approximately 80 nucleotides in length. Their secondary structure includes four short double-helical elements and three loops (D, anti-codon, and T loops). Lineage: Eukaryota; Fungi; Ascomycota; Lecanoromycetes; Umbilicariales; Umbilicariaceae. The record is from RNAcentral.